CUACGGGAGGCAGCAGUGGGGAAUCUUAGACAAUGGGCGCAAGCCUGAUCUAGCCAUGCCGCGUGGACGAUGAAGGCCUUAGGGUUGUAAAGUCCUUUCGCUGGGGAAGAUAAUGACUGUACCCAGUAAAGAAGCCCCGGCUAACUCCGUGCCAGCAGCCGCGGUAAUACGGAGGGGGCUAGCGUUGUUCGGAAUUACUGGGCGUAAAGCGCACGUAGGCGGAUCAGCAAGUUAGGGGUGAAAUCCCGGGGCUCAACCCCGGAACUGCCUUUAAAACUGUUGGUCUAGAGUUCGAGAGAGGUGAGUGGAAUUCCGAGUGUAGAGGUGAAAUUCGUAGAUAUUCGGAGGAACACCAGUGGCGAAGGCGGCUCACUGGCUCGAUACUGACGCUGAGGUGCGAAAGCGUGGGGAGCAAACAGGAUUAGAAACCCGAGUAGUCC
This 440-nucleotide ribosomal RNA is filed under the name uncultured bacterium. RNAcentral describes it as "bacterial SSU rRNA". It matches the Rfam family "Bacterial small subunit ribosomal RNA", at positions 339 to 796 of the family's 1533-position model. The record is from RNAcentral.